AAUGAACGUUGGCGGCAUGGAUUAGGCAUGCAAGUCGAGCGAGAAGUUAUAGUUUGACGCUUCGGUUGAUUUCUAUAAUGGACAGCGGCGCAUGGGAGAGUAACGCGUAGUUAUCUACCCCGAGGUCCGGAAUAGCCAUGGGAAACUGUGGGUAAUGCCGGAUAAUAUCCCCGGAUCAAAGGUGUGAUUCCGCCUUGGGAGGAGACUGCGUACUACUAGCUUGUUGGUAGGGUAAUGGCCUACCAAGGCUUUGAUGGUUAGCGGGCGUGAGAGCGUGGCCCGUCUCACUGGGACUGAAACACUGCCCAGACAUCUACGGAUGGCUGCAGUCGAGAAUCUUCGGCAAUGGGCGAAAGCCUGACCGAGCGAUGCCGCGUGCGGGAUGAAGGCCCUCGGGUUGUAAACCGCUGUCAGUUGGGAGGAAGGGUCCGUGAAGAGCGGAUCUUGACCUAUCUUCAGAGGAAGUCCGGGCUAAGUUCGUG
RNAcentral lists this ribosomal RNA (482 nucleotides) under uncultured bacterium. RNAcentral's name for it is "bacterial SSU rRNA". It matches the Rfam family "Bacterial small subunit ribosomal RNA", at positions 29 to 507 of the family's 1533-position model. The record is from RNAcentral.